AGCAGGUCCUCGAAUGCUAUAAUUUCUCAAAAUCUGAUAAAGAACAAACUCAUCUACAUCUUGGAUAGCCUGAAGAUGAGUAAAUCUGACUAUUAGCAUGAAGUCUGGUGCAAUUGUGACUAAUUCUGACCAAUACUGAAGCAAGAAAGAUCAGUCCGGUUGGCAUUAAAAGCAUGCGUUGACAGUUCCAUUUGUUUUUGUAAGACUUUUAGAGGCAUGUUUGUGAACUUUCUAAUUAGAAUUUCUUUUUGUUAAUCCAAAAUUAUUAAUGAUUAUUUCAUAGACAUAACUUACAACACAGUAUGACUAUAAACCUCUUGAAAAGUGUCUGAAACAAACCUUUAGAAGAACUUUGGCACAUUUAAUGGUAAGUUCUUCCAAAAAAGCUGCUGAGAUGAAAUUGCAAAAAUGAAAACCUGUCAAAAAUGUUUAACCUUUAAUAGCACGAGCCACCCCAAAAUGCAGUCUUUUGCCAUUUUGAUUAAGAACACCUGAACAACUUCAUCUGGAUUUAAUCUUGUUAAUCACAUUCUCUCUGUGGACUGUUAUAUUUUUGUAGUUCAAUUUAAUAACUCAAAUGACUUGUGUAGAUUUUAAUCCCUAGACAUUCUUUUUUGACCAAAAAUGAUUUCUAAAUCCCAGAGAAAUUAUGGGGACCAUGCAAGUCUAAUGUAAUUUUUUUCCCUCAUGGUAUUGCUAAAAUUGUUUUAAUAUCAUUUGUUGGUAUCCAGCAUUAUGAAUGUAAGCAUUUUUAUGUUGAAAUGAUGGCACUUGCUCUCUGUAUGCUACCUUUUAGAUUAUUGGUGAUUAUUGAGAUUGUAAUGGUGCAUAUGAAGAUCAUCACUUCAUCUCUGCUGCUCAAUACAAUAUAUAUACAAUAAGUGUUAAAAGCGAAGUCCUUAUUUCUGCAGCUUUAGUGGCACUGUAGCCUACUCCAAAUCCUCUGAAUGACAACUGUGAUAAUUGUCAUUAUUUUUAUUUAUGCAGUUCUGUUUAGUGGCAUAGAAUUUAUACACUUCACUUUUAACUUCAUAAAUGUAGGUCCGAUAGUUCUCAGUCAGUAAUAUACCUGUAUACUAUUGUUCAGAAAGAAGCCAACCAUAUAGGGAAGACAUGGAAGGGCUGGUUUUCAGGUGUCAAGCAAUGAUAUUACAGGGCACUCCUACGGACUUAACACACAUAACAGAAAUAACCUUUACAUGUCUGGACAUCUGCCUUUCCUUACAUCAGAACCACAGCAUGUCUUCAGCAGCAAACAGCUUCCGAUCAGAGACUCUUCUGUACCGACAUGUUUUAUGUGGAUUCACAUCAUGUAACCAAAGGAUGCACUGACUCCCUCAUUUCCUUGGUGAAAACAUUUCUGCGACAAUCCUACAAUUUUAGAAAAAAGCAGGGCCUGGAAGGUGAGCAGGCGGCUGCUGGCGUAUCAGUAAUCAGUUGGCUUUAUCUGGACUUGUCACGCACUCAGAGCUCGGCUGGCUACAAUCCUCAGGCUUGAUCAGAACAGGAUGUGCUGGGAAAGCAAGAUAAAGCACUGCGCAG
This is a long non-coding RNA of Sinocyclocheilus grahami, 1542 nucleotides long. RefSeq lists it as uncharacterized. The record is from RefSeq and is a predicted model, not a curated record. NCBI's taxonomy places the organism in Eukaryota, Metazoa, Chordata, Actinopteri, Cypriniformes, Cyprinidae. The transcript has 4 exons.